RNAcentral lists this small RNA (442 nucleotides) under Rattus norvegicus (Norway rat). Its description in RNAcentral is "uncharacterized LOC102549948". The record is from RNAcentral. Lineage: Eukaryota; Metazoa; Chordata; Mammalia; Rodentia; Muridae.
ACUAAGCUACUAACACAGAGAGAUAAUUCAUUCUUAGAUGGGAUGUAAUGUACUGCAUCUGUUAGGAGGCACUUUCCGAAUUAAUUACUCCGUCACUCCCUCCCCUGCCCCAUCUCUUUCCUUAGUUCUUACAGUCCUAGUCGUGGCUCACUAGCCUGACCCUGCCUGAAGAGAUAGGAAAGGAACUGUGCUCCACGUAAAUGAACCUGCCUCACCCUCAAAAUAAUCCAGAGCCUGGAUCAUCCCACAUGGACGCUACUGGACCGGUGGCCUGCAAGAUAGAACCAAGAAACUUUCUUCCCAACUGUUAUAAAAAAGAACAGAACAGAAGAGAACAAAACACAGCAAUCCUUAGAUUCUCUCCCAGCCCACUUCCCCUCUGGAAACCCAUUUACUGUCUCCUUCUAGUGUAUUUCAAUAAAUUCUCCUGUGUUCCAGUUAA